This 2106-nucleotide long non-coding RNA is filed under the name Vulpes vulpes (red fox). RNAcentral's name for it is "lncRNA (ENSVVUG00000015605.1)". The record is from RNAcentral. Lineage: Eukaryota; Metazoa; Chordata; Mammalia; Carnivora; Canidae.
GAGAAACCCGCACCCCUUCGCCUGCUUUCCCAAGGCGGCUGUGUGAAGGCAUCUCCCAGCUUUCCCUUAUCCCUGCCAGGUGGGGUGAGGCGCGGGGCGGGGUGCCAGCUCCCGGAGGCGCCCGAGCCCCCGCCCCUCCACCGGCCACGGCCCGCACUCGAGGGCCAGCGCCCGGGACUCCGGGGCUCCCCCGCCUUCCUCCCGCUAAGGGGCACCGGCGCGGGGCUGCGCGCCCACCGAGCGCCCCGCCUGCGUCACCCUCACGCCUCCCGGAGUCCCCAGAUUUGCCCGGGACCCCCUGGGACCCCGGUUCUGCGGCCCACGCGCCACAGCCGGCACCCGGCGCCCGCCCCGGAGGCCAGCGCGCCGCCGGCCCCCCGAGCCCGGGAGAGGCCGGGGCCCCGAGGCUCAGGCGGGCAAGGGAAGGGGGCGCCAGGCCGGGCGGAGGGGCGAGCGUGGGAGCGCGCGGGACCCCAGGGAGGGGCGGCGCCGACAGCCCGCCCUGCGCGGCCGGUGGCUAAGCCCUGCGCCCGGGGCGCGCGGUCGGGGGCGGGAGGCCGGGCUCCUCACCCCGGGGACUGGGGCGGGGUGGCGGCCGGGAGCGGGCACCGGGGCUCCUGGGGGAGGGAACACGGCUCAGGAGUGGGCCAGGACGGGGCGGGAGGCUUCAGGGGUAAGGAAGGGAUACAGGGGCCGGGGGCUGAGCAGUGGCUGCGGCACAGGUGGGAGAGAGAAGGAUCUGCGCGGGGCCAUCCGCGUGAGGGAUGCGGAGGAAGAGGGCCAGUGGGGGGGCGCCCUCGGGUCAGAGCCCCCAAGCUAGGAGGCCUCGGAGGCCGUCACGGCGCCGGCCCCCCGCGGGCUUGGAGACCCUGGGGCGGGUCCCGCGGCGCCCGGCUGCGGGAGGGGCGCAGCUUCUUACUUGAAGGCCCCGCAGGGUCUCGUCGCAGCGCCAGUGCGAGGGCAGCACGCAGCACAGGAGGCUGGGCUGUGGGUGCGCACGAGCUGGGCCGGGUGGUCGGCGAUGACCCCUACCGUGGUGCGGGCGUCCUGCGGCGGCGGCAACCGGGACACCCGGGCCGCUGCCGCCGCCACCGCCACCGCCCCUGCUGCUGUUGCUCCUGCUGCGGCGGCGCAGCCCCCACCGGGCCCACCUCGCCCGUCUUGCCGGGCUGCAGGCCGCUGCACGGAGGGCUGAAGCGCAGGCUGGCGCUCGGAUCCGCGGGAAGACGCAUCCCACCCGCCCCAAGUGAGGGAAGUGGCCGGGGGAGGGAGAGGAGGGUGGAAAGGAGGCGCGAGGAGGAGGAAAUUGGGGGCUUAGAGGCGAGACGGGGGAGAGGGAAUGGAGGUGAUGAGGUGCAGGAGGUGAGAAGUCAAGUUCCAUGGAGCCGACCGCCAGGAGGAGUCUCACGGGCCGUGGCGGCGAUGCGGAGCAGUGGGGUGGGCGGGCUGGGAGGCCCGGGAGGCACAGAGCUCGCCGGAGCCCUGGGAACGCCCGCGGUGGCAGCUGAGAACCGGCGCGGGGAUGCGUGCGGCCCGGGGCGGCGGGGGCUUCAGGUUGCAGCUCGGAGCGGGGUCCCUUGGGGCGCCGCGUGCUGGGUGCAGCCGCGCCCCCUCGCAGGUGAGUCUGGUGGUGGACCGCAGUGGCUUCAGCAGNNNNCGCCUCCGCGGGGCCUCGGCUCCCAGGCGCCGCCGCCCGCUCAGAUUCCCCACGCGCGGCGGCCAGCCCGGCUCCCCGGCUCCGCCCCUUGCCCUCCUGUCUCCUCCGCGGCCUUCUCAGGGCCGCCCCCUGGCACCCACUGCCUCCUGCUAGCGCACAGCGCCCCUGACCCUCGCGGGCCCAGGUGCCAGGACGGGAGUCGCGGGCAGCGGACUUCGGGGCAGCGGCCCUGGAGCCUGCGAGUCGCAGCCGCAGCCGCCGCCGCCCGCCGGCCAGAGCAGGAGCCGGGGCGCAGCGCGCAGCCUCCGCAGCCGGAGAGGCGGCCCCGGCGGAGGAGUGUCGCGGGUCGGCCCUGUCGCUGCUCCCCGACCCAGGACAAGGAACCCCCUCUUGGUCGCCCGAGGUUGAAGCUGAGACGCCAGAGCCGCGCCCUGAACUCACUGUCUUAG